UACGAAGGGGGCUAGCGUUGCUCGGAAUCACUGGGCGUAAAGCGCACGUAGGCGGAUUCUUAAGUCAGGGGUGAAAUCCCGGAGCUCAACUCCGGAACUGCCUUUGAUACUGAGAGUCUCGAGUUCGGGAGAGGUGAGUGGAACUGCGAGUGUAGAGGUGAAAUUCGUAGAUAUUCGCAAGAACACCAGUGGCGAAGGCGGCUCACUGGCCCGAGUACUGACGCUGAGGUGCGAAAGCGUG
RNAcentral lists this ribosomal RNA (241 nucleotides) under uncultured bacterium. RNAcentral's name for it is "partial 16S ribosomal RNA". It matches the Rfam family "Bacterial small subunit ribosomal RNA", at positions 524 to 763 of the family's 1533-position model. The record is from RNAcentral.